This 352-nucleotide ribosomal RNA is filed under the name uncultured bacterium. RNAcentral describes it as "bacterial SSU rRNA". It matches the Rfam family "Bacterial small subunit ribosomal RNA", at positions 28 to 371 of the family's 1533-position model. The record is from RNAcentral.
GACGAACGCUGGCGGCGUGCUUAACACACGCAAGUCGAACGAGAAAGCCCCUUCGGGGGUGAGUACAGUGGCGAACGGGUGAGUAACGACGUGGGCAACCUGCCCUAGGGAGCGGGACAACCCGAGGAAACUCGGGCUAAUACCGCAUGAUUCGCAGAGUCAUAAGGCUCUGCGGGAAAUGGUAGCUUCGGCCGUCCGCCCUAGGAUGGGCCCGCGGCGCAUUAGCUUGUUGGUGAGGUAACGGCCCACCAAGGCGACGAUGCGUAGCUGGUCUGAGAGGACGAUCAGCCACACUGGGACUGAGACACGGCCCAGACUCCUACGGGAGGCAGCAGUGGGGAAUCUUGCGCAA